UGUGUUGCCAAAAAAAGAGAGGUUUUUUGUUAAAAUAAAUAAAUGAUGGAGAACGUAUGAGAGUAAUUACGAGUUUCCUAACUCUCACAAAUUAAUUAUAAGCUAGUUAUCUUGAAAUAAAAAUUAUGAUUAAUAAUUACUAACUCAUAACUAUUAAAGAACAAUAAAAUAAAAUAAAAAAGCAAAAUAUGGAGAAUAAAAUAAUAAAAAUAAGAAGGAAUAUUUGUUAUGUUUAUACUAUAUUUGUUAUUUUUGUUUCUUCCAAAUUUGAUAAAGAAUAAAUGUGUUUUAUUAAACAUAAAAAUGACAAAGAAUAAUGUGUCAAAAUAUUCCUCGUAAAUGGUAUAAUUUUGAAGUAAGAAAAAGGAAAUCACUCUUAGUAUUUGUUUCUUUAGAUUCUAGAGCCUCAAAGUCAAGAGCGCUAGUUCAAAUUUUACAAUCACUGGAUAUCUAAAUUAGCCAACGAAAAUAAGGGCAUCUUCAAUCUCACUCUAUUUUUU
Molecule: long non-coding RNA, 500 nt
Filed under: Brassica napus (rape)
Lineage: Eukaryota; Viridiplantae; Streptophyta; Magnoliopsida; Brassicales; Brassicaceae
Description: long non-coding RNA (BNAP_LNC018649)
Source: RNAcentral